CCUACGGGUGGCAGCAGUGGGGAAUAUUGCACAAUGGGGGAAACCCUGAUGCAGCGACGCCGCGUGAGUGAAGAAGUAAUUCGUUACGUAAAGCUCUAUCAGCAGGGAAGAAAAUGACGGUACCUGAGUAAGAAGCCCCGGCUAACUCCGUGCCAGCAGCCGCGGUAAUACGGAGGGUGCAAGCGUUGUCCGGAAUCAUUGGGCGUAAAGAGUUCGUAGGCGGCAUGUAAAGUCAGGUGUUAAAGGCGCAGGCUCAACCUGUGUAUGGCACUUGAUACUUGCAAGCUGGAAUGCGGUAGAGGUAAAGGGAAUUCCUGGUGUAGCGGUGAAAUGCUUAGAUAUCAGGAGGAACAUCGGUGGCGUAAGCGCUUUACUGGGCCGUAAUUGACGCUGAGGAACGAAAGCCAGGGUAGCAAAUGGGAUUAGAUACCCGUGUAGUC
This 440-nucleotide ribosomal RNA is filed under the name uncultured bacterium. RNAcentral's name for it is "partial 16S ribosomal RNA". It matches the Rfam family "Bacterial small subunit ribosomal RNA", at positions 338 to 795 of the family's 1533-position model. The record is from RNAcentral.